Molecule: long non-coding RNA, 2756 nt
Organism: Taeniopygia guttata (zebra finch)
Lineage: Eukaryota; Metazoa; Chordata; Aves; Passeriformes; Estrildidae
Source: RefSeq, a predicted model, not a curated record
AUGCCUCGAGGUAAGACUACAUGAAAGAAGAAGAGAAAUAUUUUAAAUGCUGCUUAAGACCUGGACCAGGAUUGCACAUAGCCAUGAAUCCAAUUUUUAAAUACUUCCAUUAACUUUGAUAAUUACACCUAUGAAUUUAAAUUUUAAGUAUGUGCUUAAUUACUUAGUUCAGAUGAAAGUUGAAACAUUCAAAUGCAAAUGUCUUCUUUUUACAAUUUGAGGUCAAAUGUUUCCAAAAAUUGUAAUAAGAAAAAUAUUAUGUUUUACUUGCUCUCUAAAGAAGGAACUUUUUGAGCUCCAUUGAGCUCCCACUGCAUAAUAAGCAGAUGGCUAAAGGAAACUCUUCAUUUAUAGUGUGUGGAGGAGGGGAUUUGGGCAUAUGCCAUGGCUGUUGGGCCAGCAGGAUGAGGAUACACAAACUAAUCCCUACUGCUCUACCCUAAACCCUGGAUUAGGCCAGAACAGCAGACAAAGCUUCUGUAAUACUGGCCUGCAGAGCCCUGUGGUCUAUUAAGGAUUCUGGCAUCUGCACCCAUUUCAAAAUACCUGUGCAGGAAGGACAUGAAAUAUAUCCAAGAUGCUGUUCUGCCUGCUUCUCAGUCUCCCAAAAUAUGGCAUUAGAGAACAUUUAUGUUAAAAUGCAUUUGCUACAACUUCACGCAAUCUUGUUAGGAGCUGUCGCUAGCUAUGCAAUUAAGUGAAUUUUAAGUAGAGUCAUCUCAAGGGGGAUCUACUGCAUGGAAUUAUGCAUUAGGUUCUGUAUAGUGCUAUCUGAUAGUAGAGCAGAAGAAAUUGAUCACAUUGACAGCUGAAGUAAAGGAGAAAUUAUCUAUUAAUAAUUUAUUAGUGUUUGCAGAAUAGUCCUCCUAAUACUUAGAUGAGCAAGAAGAAAAAAAAAAUAGAUUUGAUAAGUGUUAAUAUAAGGACAUCCUCACAGGAUAUAGAAAUCAAAUAUGUAUGCUACUAAAUUGGAAAAAGUGUCUAGUAUAGUAGUGCUGUGAAAGAAUUAAAAUACGUUUAAAAAUUAAUAUAUGUAGGCAUAAUUGAUGUUGUAUUGAAUGAGCGAAUUAGUGAAUGCUUUAAGAAUUAAAAAUUGGCUUUGGAAUUUAAAAAUAUCAUUUGUAAGACAAACAGAAUUUUAUUUUCUUUUCCCCUAGUGCAAUCGGAUCACUGUAAAAAUACUUCCUGCAAUCUGGGGAAUCCACUGUAAAAGAAAGAUGGAGAAAUGGAUUGGGGCUGCCUGAAGAAGUGAAAUCAUCUUGCCUAACACACAUUCUGGACGCAAAAUGGAUUCUGCAGUGGAACACUUGAAAGAGGAGAGUUUACACUUUCUUAUCAUUUCUGGUUUGGCUUUCUCUGAUUUAUGGCUGCUACUAGCAAAUUCUAAGAAGCUGUUCCAGAAACUUGGGUUAUUGUGACAUUUUCUGUUUGAGCUCUCAACCCUGGUGACUGGGGAAAAAUGAGUUGUUUUGACCACAAAGUUAAAAGAAGCUUUCAGGAUAUCAUAGAAUUAAUAUGACAAAUUUUCUCUGCUAGCCAUUUUUUAGCAUGAGGCAUAAGCAAACAUUUGAAUUAGUUAUUUAUGUUCAAAAGAGUUUAAUGUUUUCUUUUAGAAAAGGUCCCACUGCAGAGCAUAAUUGUGCUCAAAUGCUAUAUUAAAACUAUCGUAAAUUAUAGCUACUAUUGUAAAUUAUAGCUUGGGACACUGUUAUAUGAUUUGGGCAUUUAUAAUAAUUCGAUUUCUCUGUGAAAUCUGAACUGAUAAUUAGGAAAAAGGACAGCAACACUCCCACUGAUGGAAAGAAGGUUGUACCUGUAAGGAAGUUAAUUUGCAGUUAGCAAGGUAAGCAUUGAUCAGUAUAGUAGCCACUUUUGCCUAUUUCCCGGUGUGUAUGCUUCCUUAGUAUGCAAUAAGGCUGCCUACACCGAGACUUAAAGCAAAAGAACUCAUACAGUGUGAAGCAGACUCCUAUGUUUAGCACUGUAUUUACUGAGAUAAACUAUUUCAUAGAGUCUUCUAUGCAAGUUGGCUGUUCCUCAGGGUUGCUCAGAGUCCUGUCCAAUCUGGACAUGAAUGUUUCCAACAGUGUUUAACCGCCCUCCUUUUAAAAUAUUUUUUCCUUAUAUUUAGUCUGAAUGUAUUCUCUUUUAGUUUGAAAUCAUUGCCCCUUGUCCUAUUGCUACAUACCCUAUUAAAAAGCUUGUUUCUAUCUUUCUUGUAAUUCCCUUCAGAUACUGAAAGUUGGAAAUAAAGUCUUCCCGGAACCUUCUCCAGGCUCAACAGUCCCAACUGUCUCAGCUUUUCCUCAUAGGAGAGAUGUUCCAGCCCUCUGAUCAUCUCUGUGGCCCUACUCUGGACUCACUCCAACAGGCCCAUGUCCUUCCUGAGCUGGGGACCCUGGAGCUGGACAGUCCUCCGGAAACAACCAGGAUUUUUUUUCCUUCAUGAAGCUUCGGAUGACAUCAUUUAUUGAGCUCAUCUGCAGGGAGAAGUGAAGUGACAACACAAUGUAGUUAUUCUACCAAUCUGUCCUUUGUGUCUUUUAUAGAUGUUUGAAGCUGUUACUUUUUUCUGAAGUCUGUAUACUAAUGCAGCAGGACUUUUUCACUUAAAAAUUAAAUACAAUAUCAGUAUUUUGUGUGGAGUCUGUAAGUUGCAUAGAUCACAAAUGCUGGAACAAAUGGGGUAAAGAAACAGUUGACUUUGUCCAGCUGACAUAAGGAAUAAAUUUAAUUUCUCAGUGUGAUUGUACACA